Molecule: unclassified non-coding RNA, 341 nt
Filed under: Hevea brasiliensis (rubber tree)
Lineage: Eukaryota; Viridiplantae; Streptophyta; Magnoliopsida; Malpighiales; Euphorbiaceae
Source: RNAcentral
GAGAGAGAGAGAGAGAGAAAAUGGAGGGAGAUCAAACAAUCAAAGCAAGGAAAGAAAGAAAGAUUUGGCUGCUUAGAUCUAAUUAAGCCGGAUCUGAGCCGAGCAAGGACAGUCAGACAAAAAAAAAUUAAAAAAAGUAAAAAAGAGAUCAGCUUUUUCAACUUUGCAGAGCCGCUACGCCAUGUUUGGAAGAUCUAUCUAAACUCAAAACCUCUCUUGGCUUCUCUUUGCUUGUUUCUCUCUCUCCGUCUCAGACGGCUUAUUUUGACGCCACAUGUGGGUGUGAUGUGAGAGAGAAAGGGAAAGAGAGGCUCGGCUGGUGGGAGUGGGUGAGAGGUUGG